This 228-nucleotide unclassified non-coding RNA is filed under the name plant metagenome. RNAcentral describes it as "partial contains small subunit ribosomal RNA and internal transcribed spacer 1". The stretch from base 1 to 46 matches the Rfam family "Eukaryotic small subunit ribosomal RNA", at positions 1786 to 1831 of the family's 1831-position model. The record is from RNAcentral.
AAGUCGUAACAAGGUUUCCGUAGGUGAACCUGCGGAAGGAUCAUUAAAGAGUAAGGGUGCUCAGCGCCCGACCUCCAACCCUUUGUUGUUAAAACUACCUUGUUGCUUUGGCGGGACCGCUCGGUCUCGAGCCGCUGGGGAUUCGUCCCAGGCGAGCGCCCGCCAGAGUUAAACCAAACUCUCGUAUUAAACCAGUCGUCUGAGUAUAAAAUUUUAAUUAAAUUAAAA